GGUCAUGAGUUUUGGUGUCUAUGCUUCC
Molecule: non-coding RNA, 28 nt
Filed under: Homo sapiens (human)
Lineage: Eukaryota; Metazoa; Chordata; Mammalia; Primates; Hominidae
Source: RNAcentral